This 326-nucleotide ribosomal RNA is filed under the name uncultured eukaryote. Its description in RNAcentral is "partial 18S ribosomal RNA". It matches the Rfam family "Eukaryotic small subunit ribosomal RNA", at positions 1470 to 1796 of the family's 1831-position model. The record is from RNAcentral.
CCCUUAGACGUUCUGGGCCGCACGCGCGCUACACUGACCAGUGCAACAAGCAUCCGUCCUUGGCCGACAGGCCCGGGCAAUCUUUGAACGCUGGUCGUGAUGGGGAUAGACUUUUGCAAUUUUUGGUCUUCAACGAGGAAUUCCUAGUAAACGCAAGUCAUCAACUUGCAUUGAUUACGUCCCUGCCCUUUGUACACACCGCCCGUCGCACCUACCGAUUGAAUGUUUCGGUGAAGAUUCCGGACUGUGUUUUUACUGCUUCACGGCGGUUUGAACGUGGGAAGUUAUCUAAACCUCAACAUUUAGAGGAAGGUGAAGUCGUANCA